UGGGGAAUAUUGCACAAUGGGCGAAAGCCUGAUGCAGCGACGCCGCGUGAGGGAUGGAGGCAUUCGGGUUGUAAACCUCUUUCAGUAAGGGUGAAGGCUCUCUUUUGUGGAGGGUUGACAGUACUUGCAGAAGAAGCGCCGGCUAACUACGUUCCAGCAGCCGCGGUAAUACGUAGGGCGCGAGCGUUGUCCGGCAUUAUUGGGCGUAAAGGGCUUGUAGGUGGCGUGUCGCGUCUGCUGUGAAAUUCCAGGGCUUAACUUUGGGAUUGCAGUGGAUACGGGGAUGCUAGAGUGCAGUAGGGGAGAUGGGAAUUCCUGGUGUAGCGGUGAAAUGCGCAGAUAUCAGGAUGAACACCGGUGGCGAAGGCGGGUCUCUGGGCUGUAACAGACGCUGAGGAGCGAAAGCGUGGGGAGCGAACAGG
RNAcentral lists this ribosomal RNA (422 nucleotides) under Verrucomicrobiota bacterium. Its description in RNAcentral is "Verrucomicrobia bacterium partial 16S ribosomal RNA". It matches the Rfam family "Bacterial small subunit ribosomal RNA", at positions 355 to 776 of the family's 1533-position model. Lineage: Bacteria; Pseudomonadati; Verrucomicrobiota. The record is from RNAcentral.